GCCAAAAGCUCAAUUUACUGUGCCUUUUGGUACUAGGAUCAGUACGAAAAGUAAGGCCUACGAUCCCUAAAAUAGCCUCAGGUGCGUGAGGAUUGGGGUGACAGACAAGUUACCUCCGGGACAACUGGCUUGUGGCUGCUAAGAGAUCAAAUCAACGCAGCUUUUUGAUUCUUCGAUGUCGGCUCUUCCUAUCCUAGUGAUGUACAAGUUGCUAAGGGUCGGAUUGUUCACCCGUAUUAGGGAUCGUGAGCUGGGUUUAGACCGUCGUGAGCCAGGUUUGUUUUAUCCUACUGGAUAUAGCAUCAUGAUAGUAGAUUGAUUUAGUACGAGAGGAACUGUUGAUUAUGGCCUCUGGUUAGCGAUUAUCGGAAACGGUAUGUCGCGCAGCUACGCCGUCUGGGAUAAUGGCUGAAAGCCUCUUAAGCCAGAAGCCCAUCUAGAAAGUGAUGCACGUGAUGUUGGACCGAUACGAAUAAUCAUACUCAAAAGGUCCGCUUCAUAGGUAACCCAAUGUAGAAGACAUUGUGUGAACGAAGGUACUGUAAGCAGUGGAGUGGCAUUACGUCCACGACCUGUUGAGGUUCAGCUUCGCUUCUAGGUUUCC
Molecule: non-coding RNA, 604 nt
Organism: Trichomonas vaginalis G3
Lineage: Eukaryota; Parabasalia; Trichomonadida; Trichomonadidae
Source: Rfam